Gasterosteus aculeatus aculeatus (three-spined stickleback) is the source of this 741-nucleotide long non-coding RNA. The record is from Ensembl. NCBI's taxonomy places the organism in Eukaryota, Metazoa, Chordata, Actinopteri, Perciformes, Gasterosteidae.
CCUGCUUUCUGGCCUAUUGGAGACCUGUCACUGUAGAACCAGGACCAGAGGAGUCUCCUCCUGGUGGACGUUAGAGAGAAUGCAGCUUUAACGCAUGAAGCUCUGGCUAAUCCUGGAGGUCCUCCUGGCGCCCCUCACCCGUGUGCAGCUGACCCCCGUGGCGUCCGGGUACAGGAUGAGGCUGUAGGCCUCCCGCUGCUCCGGCCUGAAGCUGCACUCAGACGGCCUCCCGCUGAAGACGGUGUUUGUUGUUGUCGUGGUUACCUGGAGGCGAGGGACGGGGUCCGGGAAGGCGUCGCUGCCGGGGAUCUUCAGCAUCACGUCGCCGUCGGCAACGUUGAUCACCUGCAGCAGGAAGUUGCCCUCCGGCACCGGCGGCACCACCGACCGCUGCACAGCGCGCGCUCAUAUUUAAUACACGUACAUGUGUCCUGUGCGUGUACUUCUUUGACAACGUGGCGGGGGAUCUUAACGCACCACAACGUUCACCUCCACCAGCGUCGCCGCCACGAAGGCCAGCGCCGCAAAGAUCAUCCCGGUGGCCAUUUUCCUCAGAGGCCUGCGGCGACAAAGAGUCCUCGCUUUAACCCAGAGAAGAAGAACUGUGCCCUGAUUGGACGCAGCUGAACUCAAAUGACUCCUGAAAUAGGCCGACCAGCGGAUAGAUGGCGAGGUCGAAGACGGGGAUGAAGAGGAGGAUCAGCAGCGCGUUAAGCAUCUGGAGGGGAAACGAAGGGGGGG